This 824-nucleotide ribosomal RNA is filed under the name Staphylococcus aureus. Its description in RNAcentral is "partial 23S ribosomal RNA". It matches the Rfam family "Bacterial large subunit ribosomal RNA", at positions 513 to 1345 of the family's 2925-position model. Lineage: Bacteria; Bacillati; Bacillota; Bacilli; Caryophanales; Staphylococcaceae. The record is from RNAcentral.
GGUGAAAAGCACCCCGGAAGGGGAGUGAAAUAGAACCUGAAACCGUGUGCUUACAAGUAGUCAGAGCCCGUUAAUGGGUGAUGGCGUGCCUUUUGUAGAAUGAACCGGCGAGUUACGAUUUGAUGCAAGGUUAAGCAGUAAAUGUGGAGCCGUAGCGAAAGCGAGUCUGAAUAGGGCGUUUAGUAUUUGGUCGUAGACCCGAAACCAGGUGAUCUACCCUUGGUCAGGUUGAAGUUCAGGUAACACUGAAUGGAGGACCGAACCGACUUACGUUGAAAAGUGAGCGGAUGAACUGAGGGUAGCGGAGAAAUUCCAAUCGAACCUGGAGAUAGCUGGUUCUCUCCGAAAUAGCUUUAGGGCUAGCCUCAAGUGAUGAUUAUUGGAGGUAGAGCACUGUUUGGACGAGGGGCCCCUCUCGGGUUACCGAAUUCAGACAAACUCCGAAUGCCAAUUAAUUUAACUUGGGAGUCAGAACAUGGGUGAUAAGGUCCGUGUUCGAAAGGGAAACAGCCCAGACCACCAGCUAAGGUCCCAAAAUAUAUGUUAAGUGGAAAAGGAUGUGGCGUUGCCCAGACAACUAGGAUGUUGGCUUAGAAGCAGCCAUCAUUUAAAGAGUGCGUAAUAGCUCACUAGUCGAGUGACACUGCGCCGAAAAUGUACCGGGGCUAAACAUAUUACCGAAGCUGUGGAUUGUCCUUUGGACAAUGGUAGGAGAGCGUUCUAAGGGCGUUGAAGCAUGAUCGUAAGGACAUGUGGAGCGCUUAGAAGUGAGAAUGCCGGUGUGAGUAGCGAAAGACGGGUGAGAAUCCCGUCCACCGAUUGAC